CUACGGGUGGCUGCAGUAGGGAAUUUUGCGCAAUGGGCGAAAGCCUGACGCAGCGACGCCGCGUGAGUGAUGAAGGGUUUCGGCUCGUAAAGCUCUGUCAGAUAGGAAGAAAUGUUAUAUGGUUAAUACCCAUAUAGCUUGACGGUACUAUCAAAGGAAGCACCGGCUAACUCCGUGCCAGCAGCCGCGGUAAUACGGAGGGUGCUAACGUUGUUCGGAAUUACUGGGCGUAAAGAGAAUGUAGGUGGAACAGUAAGUCAGAAGUGAAAGCCUGAGGCUCAACCUCAGAAGUGCUUUUGAAACUGCUGAUCUAGAGUACCGGAGAGGGAUGUGGAAUUCCUGGUGUAGGGGUGAAAUCCGUAGAUAUCAGGAGGAACACCGGUGGCGAAGGCGACAUCCUGGCCGAGUACUGACACUGAGAUUCGAAAGCGUGGGGAGCAAACAGGAUUAGAUACCCGUGUAGUC
RNAcentral lists this ribosomal RNA (465 nucleotides) under uncultured bacterium. RNAcentral describes it as "partial 16S ribosomal RNA". It matches the Rfam family "Bacterial small subunit ribosomal RNA", at positions 339 to 795 of the family's 1533-position model. The record is from RNAcentral.